Molecule: ribosomal RNA, 479 nt
Filed under: Streptococcus sp. oral taxon 061
Lineage: Bacteria; Bacillati; Bacillota; Bacilli; Lactobacillales; Streptococcaceae
Description: bacterial SSU rRNA
Rfam family: Bacterial small subunit ribosomal RNA
Source: RNAcentral
GAUGAACGCUGGCGGCGUGCCUAAUACAUGCAAGUAGAACGCUGAAGCUUGGUGCUUGCACCGAGUGGAAGAGUUGCGAACGGGUGAGUAACGCGUAGGUAACCUGCCUGGUAGCGGGGGAUAACUAUUGGAAACGAUAGCUAAUACCGCAUAACAUUGACUAUUGCAUGAUAGUCAAUUGAAAGGUGCAAAUGCACCACUAUCAGAUGGACCUGCGUUGUAUUAGCUAGUUGGUGGGGUAACGGCUCACCAAGGCGACGAUACAUAGCCGACCUGAGAGGGUGAUCGGCCACACUGGGACUGAGACACGGCCCAGACUCCUACGGGAGGCAGCAGUAGGGAAUCUUCGGCAAUGGACGGAAGUCUGACCGAGCAACGCCGCGUGAGUGAAGAAGGUUUACGGAUCGUAAAGCUCUGUUGUAAGAGAAGAACGAGUGUGAGAGUGGAAAGUUCACACUGUGACGGUAUCUUACCAGAAA